Molecule: ribosomal RNA, 476 nt
Filed under: uncultured bacterium
Lineage: Bacteria
Description: bacterial SSU rRNA
Rfam family: Bacterial small subunit ribosomal RNA
Source: RNAcentral
GACGAACGCNGGCGGCGUGCUUAACACAUGCAAGUCGAACGAAGAGCGAUGGAAGCUUGCUUCUAUCAAUCUUAGUGGCGAACGGGUGAGUAACGCGUAAUCAACCUGCCCUUCAGAGGGGGACAACAGUUGGAAACGACUGCUAAUACCGCAUACGAUCUAACCUCGGCAUCGAGGAUAGAUGAAAGGUGGCCUCUACAUGUAAGCUAUCACUGAAGGAGGGGAUUGCGUCUGAUUAGCUAGUUGGAGGGGUAACGGCCCACCAAGGCGAUGAUCAGUAGCCGGUCUGAGAGGAUGAACGGCCACAUUGGGACUGAGACACGGCCCAGACUCCUACGGGAGGCAGCAGUGGGGAAUCUUCCGCAAUGGACGAAAGUCUGACGGAGCAACGCCGCGUGAGUGAUGACGGCCUUCGGGUUGUAAAGCUCUGUUAAUCGGGACGAAAGGCCUUCUUGCGAAUAGUGAGAAGGAUGACG